CCACGCUGAUGGUAGUCUUACACAUGCAGUCCAUGGGUAUCACCUGUACUUCAGGAUUCCACACCUUCGCAGGGUUGCCUAACGCGUAUGCCAUCUACCUUUUACAGAUGGAUAGCCCAAAGAAAUUUGUAUUAAUACCUCAUAAUAUUAUGAAAUGGCAUCAUUUUAUAAUUAAAGUCUCAACGGUGAAAGAUGAUCAUGCGUCCCAUUACCGAUUUGGUAAGGUAACGGCUUAGCAAGGCUACUAUGGGUAGGGGUCCUGAGAGGGAGAUCCCGCACACUGGUACUGAAACACGGACCAAACUCCUACGGGAGGCAGCAUGGAGGAAUAGUGGACAAUGGGCACAAGCCUGAUCCACCCAUGCCGCGUGCAGGAUGACGGUCCUAUGGAUUGAAAACUGCUUUUAUACAGGAAAAAACCCUGGUUCCUGAACCAGCUUGACGGUUCUGUAUGAAAAAAGAUCGGUUAACUCCCUGCCAGACUCCGUUUAAGUACUGAUGAUGCUCGCGGUAUCCGGAAGCAUUGAAUUUAAUGGGCCCGCAGGCGUUUUAGUACGUCUGAGUUGAAUUCAGAUCGAUCAUCGGUGAAACGGUCAUUGAGACUGAUACUCUUGAAUUAUUAGGAACUAACUAAAAUAUGUCCUGUAGCGAUGAUAUGCCUAGAAAUUACAUGGACAUACCAAUUGCGAAGGCAUGUUACUACUACUUGAUUGACGCUGAUGGACGAAAGCGUGUGUAACGAACAUGAUUACAUACCCUGGUAAGUCCACGCCGCUCACGAUGUAUACUCGCUGCUGUGGGCAACUUCAGUGGCUAAUCGAAAGUGAUAUGUAUCACACUUGAUGGAGUACGUUACCGAGGAUGGACUGAUUUCACUAGAGAGGUGCUAAACAAGCGGGGAGCAUGUGAUUCAAUGAGAUGAGAUCGAGGUAGCAUACCAGGAUUACAUGUACUGCUGACCGAUUAGUAAGAGAUUUUCGUCAUACAAUUACGACGUGCUGCAUGCUAGUCGUCGCUCGUGCUGUGAAGAAGUCAGUACGUCUAUACGACGCCAUCCUGUGUGGUAUUGGCUGGCGAAUGCAUGUCGGCACUCGUACAAGACUGCCAUGCAGUCUGUGCAGGAAAGGGUUGGAUGCGUUCCAUCGAUAUACCAGGUGCGUGAGACCUGCGCUCAGACGGUUACAUUGCCGCUCAAGAUAACAGCCACUGGGCGACCAGGAGCGAAUCUAUAAAACCGGUCACAGUUCGGAUCGGAGUCUGCAACUCGACUCCGUGAAGCUGGAAUCGCUAGUAAUCGGAUAUCAGCCAUGAUCCGGUGAAUACGUUCCCGGGCCUUGUACACACCGCCUGGCAAACCAUGGAAGAUGGGGGUGCCUGAAGUCGGUGACCGCAAGGAGCUGCCUAGGUAAACGCACGCCC
RNAcentral lists this ribosomal RNA (1419 nucleotides) under bacterium ASP31. Its description in RNAcentral is "bacterial SSU rRNA". It matches the Rfam family "Bacterial small subunit ribosomal RNA". The record is from RNAcentral.